AUGCAAUUACCAAAAUAUCACAGACAGCCCAGAUCAUCUGGAUUAACUAACAUAUUUCACUGCAUUUUGUGCAUUUUGUCCACUGAAAUUCAGAACAGUACUGCAUCUUGUGCAGACAGUGCCUCCCCGCAGCUGGUCCAGGCUUCCGGACGGCGUCUGACAGCAGCGACGCACGGACGUAUAUCGUGCCGGAAUCCUCCAGCAGCAUCUUGCGCUGCCGCCGACAGCCGCACCACCUGCGGCUCCAUUGUCGCCGUCCGCAGGGGCUCGAAAGACAGUGUCCCCUUCGGCCCCGCGACGGCGCUGCCCCCUUCUCCGUCCUCCCGCGCAGCCGCGGAGCACUAG
RNAcentral lists this ribosomal RNA (345 nucleotides) under Triticum aestivum (bread wheat). Its description in RNAcentral is "partial small subunit ribosomal RNA". Lineage: Eukaryota; Viridiplantae; Streptophyta; Magnoliopsida; Poales; Poaceae. The record is from RNAcentral.